AGCAGUAAAUCCAGUGGAAGUUUAGAUGUUUUAUUCCCAGGGUAAGUUUCAGGGGGAAUCCCUGACUCCUGUGUCCACCACCAGCCAGACCUUACUAGACUAGUGGGCAUUACUAGAUGUGGGCAUGAAAAUAACAUGAACUACCCGAUGGACAAGUUUCCCAGACACAUUCUUGUGGUUUGCUACUUGUUUUUAGCAUUUUAGUCACCACUUUAAGUUUCUAAUUACAGGGUUUUGUUUUUAUUUUUAAAAACAAUGUGGUCUUGAUGGAGGUAAUCUCUGUAGUGUACAUUCUCUGCAUUACUCACAAUCUUUUCUUAACAAAUACAGAGUAGUUAUAGUCUGUGUAUCCUGACACUUCAGAGAAUUUAAUUUUAAUGCUGGCAAGAGUUGCAAAGGUGAUUUCUUACUGCAUAUAGUUAAGGAGAAUGCUAAGGAGAUGAAGUAGGGUGCUUGAGGACCCGAGGCUGGUUAUUAUCAGAGUUGAGACCUAGAACAUAUAUAUUUUGAAUCUCGGUUUGUUCUCUUUCUCUAUAUUUACCCAAUUUUUGUUUUGUUUUAUUUUUUGUUUUGAGAUGGAGUUUCACUCUUGUUACCCAGGAUGGAGUGCAAUGGCGCGAUCUCAGCUCACUGCAACCUCCGCCUCCUGGGUUCAAGCAAUUCUCCUGCCUCAGCCUCCCGAGUAGCUGGGACUACAGCUUCACAACUCACCUUGGUGCAUCUCUGUCCCACACGGGAUUCAGAAGUCUAAUCAGGAAUGUAAUUAGGAACAUGAUGCAGAUGGGCAAGGCCUGUCCCUUCCUUCUUCAGCUGCUGUGUGGUGCCAGUUCAAACCCAGGUGCACCAUUGCUCACUGAA
Molecule: long non-coding RNA, 858 nt
Filed under: Callithrix jacchus (white-tufted-ear marmoset)
Lineage: Eukaryota; Metazoa; Chordata; Mammalia; Primates; Cebidae
Description: lncRNA (ENSCJAG00000077955.1)
Source: RNAcentral